GGAAAAGAUACAAAAUGAAAUUCAUGGUAGUAGAAAUUCAAAUAGCCAAACUUAUUAACAACUUAGAAAAUAAAAAGUAAAAUCUAGGAAGUAAUAUUCCCAUCUGCCCAAAUAGCAAAAGUUCAAAGUCCGAGGACAUAAAGCUGACGAGACCCUCCAAGGUGAGCACUCUCACACACAGGUUGGGGAAACAUAAGCCUCUAUCACAGAACAGCCUGGGAGAGAGACCCGGCAAUAUCCAGUACCGACAAGCAAGGGUGCAUCCAGGCAUCUGGGGACUUCACAGCAGGGUUCAGGAGCACGGAGAAUUUGCCAGAUUGGCUCAAAAGCCUGCCCGUGUUCAGGAAAGCCCUUUCCACACCCAUCCAAAUGUUGCUUGAGCUCAUUGCCCCUGAGUUCCGCAGCCUUAGUAUAACUGAAAAAGCAGCUGCAUCCUCUAGUGAUUACUCCAGGCAACUAAAGUCUUGGAGUUUCACACACAUAUUUGUUAUGGGAGGCUCUGUGGGAUGGGAUACUCAUUUACUUGGCAGAGUGGGUGGAAAGGAUGCAAUCCUAUUUAAACUUGCAACUCCUGACAGAUGCGGUGGUGCACUCCUGUAAUCCUAGCGACUCGGAAGGCUGAGGCAGGAGGAUCUCAAGUUUAAGGUCAGCCUGGGCAACCUAAUGAGACCAUGUCUCAAAAUAAAAUUUAAAAAUUAAAAAGAGGUGACUCAGAUGUAUCUCAGGGGUAGGGUGCCACUGGGUUCAAUCCCCAGUACCACAAGAGAAGAGAUAUUCGGACCUUUCCUAGUAGUGGUGUUGUAAGAGUCCGUGAGAGCAAAUCAUGGGUGAAGUAGUUUGAAUAUUCUAUGGCUCUUUAAAUGUAUUUAUGUGUAGCAAUUCAUUUUGACUACUCUCAGUAUUUAUGCCUUGAAAUUGCCUAAGGAAAUAUGUCA
This 935-nucleotide long non-coding RNA is filed under the name Marmota monax (woodchuck). The record is from RNAcentral. Lineage: Eukaryota; Metazoa; Chordata; Mammalia; Rodentia; Sciuridae.